Molecule: ribosomal RNA, 1330 nt
Filed under: Anopheles nimbus
Lineage: Eukaryota; Metazoa; Arthropoda; Insecta; Diptera; Culicidae
Description: 16S ribosomal RNA
Rfam family: Archaeal large subunit ribosomal RNA (bases 1077-1236)
Source: RNAcentral
UAAUAAUUAUUUAUUAAUUUUAUUUAUUUAUUUUUAUAUAAUAAAAAUAAUUUUUUUUAUUAAAGUUUUAGUAUUUUAUAAAGAAAAAAUAAUUAUAAUUAUAGUUAAUUAGUAUUGUAAAAGAAUAUUGAAAUAUUUUGAAAAAUAUUUAUUUUAAAAGAAAAUUUAAUUUAUUGUACCUUGUGUAUCAGGGUUUAUUAAAUAAUAAAUUAUUAUAUUUAUUUUUUUCGAAUUUUAAAGAGUUAAUUAUAUAUAAAAGUUAUUGUAGAAUAACUAUUUUAAAUAUAUAAUUUGAAAUUAAACGUUAAUCGUUUUAAAAUAUAUCUGAUUUUUUAAGAAAUAAAUUUAAUUUAUUUUAUUAAUUUUAUUUAUUUAUUUUUUAAUAAUUAAAUAAAUUAAUAAUUAAAUAUUUUAAGGGAUUAGCUUUAAAAUAAAUUUUUAAAUUUUAAUAAAUAAAAAAAAAUAAAUAUAAGCUUAAAGAUAGCUAUUAUUUAUAAAUUUGUUAUAAUUUAUUUUUAUAAUUAAAAUAUUUAUUUAAAAUUAAAUUAUUUAUUAAAAUAUAAAUUUUAAUUAAAAUAAUUUAGUAAUUAUGAUAAAAUUAGUAUAUUUAUUUUUAUAAAAUAAUUAAUUUGGAAGGUUUUAAUUAAGAAUUCGGCAAAUUAAAUAUAUUCACCUGUUUAACAAAAACAUGUCUUUUUGUAUUUUAUAUAUAAAGUCUGGCCUGCCCACUGAAUUAUAAAGGGCCGCGGUAUUUUGACCGUGCGAAGGUAGCAUAAUCAAUAGUCUUUUAAUUGAAGGCUUGUAUGAAUGGUUGAAUGAGAUAUAUACUGUUUUUUUUAAAUUUAAAUAGAAUUUUAUUUUUGAAUUAAAAAGUUUAAAUAAAAUUAAAGGACGAGAAGACCCUAUAGAUCUUUAUUUUUUGUAUUUUAUAAUUAAAAAAGAAUUUAUUUACUUAUAUUUAUUUAAAAAUUUUUCUGGGGUGGAAAUAAAAUUUAAUUAACUUUUAUUAAUUUUUAACAAUUAAUUUUUGAAUAAUUGAUCCUAUAUUGUAGAUUAAAAAUUUAAGUUACCUUAGGGAUAACAGCGUAAUUUUUUUAGAGAGUUCUUAUCGAUAAAAAAGAUUGCGACCUCGAUGUUGGAUUAAGAGUUAUUUUUAGGUGUAGAAGUUUAAAGUUUAGGUCUGUUCGACCUUUAGAUUCUUACAUGAUCUGAGUUCAAACCGGCGUAAGCCAGGUUGGUUUCUAUCCUUAAUAAAUUGUUAUAUUGUAGUACGAAAGGACCUAAUAUAAAAAUUAUAAAUUUAUUAUAUUGAAUUUUAUUAAAUUAUUAU